RNAcentral lists this small nucleolar RNA (138 nucleotides) under Ornithorhynchus anatinus (platypus). Lineage: Eukaryota; Metazoa; Chordata; Mammalia; Monotremata; Ornithorhynchidae. The record is from RNAcentral.
UCCCUCUCAGGGUUGCACCUGGAAGGUUUCCAGUAUUCUACCAGUCUCAGCUAUGGGAGGGAGGGUCAAGCAGAGGCAUAGCCAUUCCAUUCCUAGUUUGGGCAGAGGCUAGCGAGUGGAAGGCAAUCUGCUAAAGUC